This 65-nucleotide transfer RNA is filed under the name Hemidactylus bowringii. RNAcentral describes it as "tRNA-Tyr". The record is from RNAcentral. Lineage: Eukaryota; Metazoa; Chordata; Lepidosauria; Squamata; Gekkonidae.
UGACGGGGUGGCCGAGUAGGUGGCGGGCUGUAGACCCGUUUACGGGGUUAGGCCCCCCCCGUCAA